UUUUUGUUUUUUUUUGUUUUCUUAGCUUGUUAUAUUUCUUUUGUGUAUAUCUAAUAAAACUCAACAAUUAUUGAAGCUUAACAUAUAAUGGCUUUAUUCUUAAACUGCUGCUAUACUGGUCUACAACGAUUUUUAAAAAACUUUUUUUUUUCCAUUCUUUAAACUCUGCUCAUUUAGAUGUGAACAUUCGCCAACACUUUCUCCUGUUUAAAGUCAGUAUUCUUGCACGCAUCUGAUCCUCUGGACUUUGCCUAGUUUGGUUUCUGAAACACAAUCGGAAUAAAAUCAGCACUUGAAUGACAUUGAUAGAAUGUUUAGUCAAAUCUCAAGUGUCAUAUAUAUGAAAAGAAAUAUAUAAGAUCGUUUCAGUAAGCUGAACACAUGCCUUGUUAGAAUUUAAUUGUUGGACUAGUUCGACUUAUUCAUUACUUGGCAGUUAUUGUUUUUUUUCUCUUCAUUGAAAAUGGAUUUUCCAAAUCUGAAUAAUUAUUUUUAUUAAAGUGAUAAAAUCCAUUCUGUUUCUCAUUUAACUGUGUGCUUAGGUUUUAGUAGGUUUAAAUGGCAAUGUUCUCUUUGGUCGUUUUGUUUCUAUUCUCAAUAUUGAGCAGGUCAAAAAUUGUGUUUGUCUAGGAACAAGUUUGCAGUGGUUCAGUCAAUCUUUAAGAAGGGUAGUGUAAGGCCUUUUUAUCUUCUAGACAGUGCUUUUUGAUACAGUAUGCAGUUGAAGCUUCUGCUGUCUACUUUACAGAGCAUGGGUUGCAGUUUUGGAUACAACAUUUUGCAUCUUUAGCACUCAUUCCAAGUUUUAAAAAAUGAAAAUGAUGAUUUGAUUGGUGGGAUAUUUUGUAAGCAUCAUAUUUUUUCUGGAAUUAAGCCAAAAGUCAUAGCAAAGUCCAAAUGUUCUAUGUUGCUUUCAUUGAUUUCAACUCUUAAAAACUUUCUGCACACAUGUUGUGACAUUUCUUCAGCAUUUCUUUGGGUCAUGAGAUAGUUGACACUUGGUAGUACUGUCUCAUAGUUGACACUUAGUGGCACUGUCGUAGGUAACAAGUAACUUAGUUUGAAAUGAAAUGUUUGUUUUUCUAUCAGUCAGAAAUACAAUGUGAUUGACAAUGAUUGACUGGUAUGGUAAGUGCUAUAGUUAAAAGUUGUCCCCCCCCCCCCCC
Molecule: non-coding RNA, 1166 nt
Organism: Biomphalaria pfeifferi
Lineage: Eukaryota; Metazoa; Mollusca; Gastropoda; Planorbidae
Source: the annotation of a GenBank genome assembly